Small nuclear RNA from Phragmites australis (common reed), 199 nucleotides. RefSeq annotates it as U2 spliceosomal RNA. The transcript has a single exon. NCBI's taxonomy places the organism in Eukaryota, Viridiplantae, Streptophyta, Magnoliopsida, Poales, Poaceae. The record is from RefSeq and is a predicted model, not a curated record.
AUAUUUCUCGUGGCUUAUUGGCUAAGAUCAACUACAGUAUAUGUUCUUGUCAGUUUAAUAUAUGUGCAUCCGUGAGCUAUAUAUCUACUUCUAUAUUAAAUUUAUUUUCUGUGGGGGAGGACCCAUUAUAGUUGCUUGCCAUUGGGACCCUCACUUGUCGCCUACGCCUUGCAUUGCAGGCUAGGCCAGCGCACCCCCA